AGGUGCGAUCAUACCAGCACUAAUGCACCGGAUCCCGUCAUAACUCUGCAGUGAAUCGUGUUUGGGCGAGAGUAGUACUAGGAUGGGUGACCACCUAGGAAGUCCUCGUGUGUCGCCUCUC
Molecule: ribosomal RNA, 121 nt
Organism: Lupinus angustifolius (narrow-leaved blue lupine)
Lineage: Eukaryota; Viridiplantae; Streptophyta; Magnoliopsida; Fabales; Fabaceae
Source: Rfam